This 425-nucleotide ribosomal RNA is filed under the name uncultured bacterium. Its description in RNAcentral is "partial 16S ribosomal RNA". It matches the Rfam family "Bacterial small subunit ribosomal RNA", at positions 354 to 796 of the family's 1533-position model. The record is from RNAcentral.
GUUAGGAAUAUUGGACAAUGGGCGAAAGCCUGAUCCAGCCAUGCCGCGUGAACGAUGAAGGCCUUCGGGUUGUAAAGUUCUUUAGCCGAUGAUUAUAAUGACUGUAGUCGGAAAAUAAGCCCCGGCUAACUUCGUGCCAGCAGCCGCGGUAAUACGAAGGGGGCGAGCGUUAUUCGGAAUCACUGGGCGUAAAGCGUGCGUAGGCGGUUUUGUAAGUUAGGAGUGAAAGCCCAGGGCUCAACCUUGGAAUUGCUCUUAAAACUGCAAGGCUCGAAUCUCGGAGAGGAUAGCGGAAUUUCCAGUGUAGCAGUGAAAUGCGUAGAUAUUGGAAGGAACACCAGUGGCGUAAGCGGCUAUCUGGACCGAUAUUGACGCUGAGGCACGAAAGCGUGGGGAGCAAACAGGAUUAGAAACCCUUGUAGUCC